RNAcentral lists this ribosomal RNA (258 nucleotides) under uncultured bacterium. RNAcentral's name for it is "partial 16S ribosomal RNA". It matches the Rfam family "Bacterial small subunit ribosomal RNA", at positions 355 to 609 of the family's 1533-position model. The record is from RNAcentral.
UAAGGAAUAUUGGGCAAUGGACGCAAGUCUGACCCAGCCAUGCCGCGUGAAGGAUGAAUGUCCUAUGGAUUGUAAACUUCUUUUAUGCAGGAAAAAUAUCCUGGUCGAGCACCGGGACUGAUGGUACUGUAUGAAUAAGCAUCGGCUAACUCCGUGCCAGCAGCCGCGGUAAUACGGAGGAUGCAAGCGUUAUCCGGAUUCAUUGGGUUUAAAGGGUGCGCAGGCGGAAUGAUAAGUCAGUGGUGAAAUCUCCCGGCU